AAAUAGUAAAGUACUAUGCAUACAUACUUGCGUGAUUACAAAGGCUUAAACAGUUUAGAUUUACAACUCUGAACGAUCACCGCAUAGAAAUUGUUAAAUCACAAUCCUAGUACAUCAACUUUUAGAUUUCAUUUUCUGAAACUCGUUUCCAUUUGCGCAUGUUUAUUUGGAGAGAAACCUCUAGGUCUUUCUCCUCGCUUAGCUUAUCAAGCGUUUUUAACAUGUGCAACAAAGCAUAUCCACGUCUUUACCUCCAUUUGUGAUGCAACUUGAUUCACCAUCAUCGUGCAAUGGACACUUUUUGUCGAGGAAUUUGUUACACUACUUGAAGUAUCUGAAGUCAGAGGUACAACGAAACAAUAGCCCUUUAUGGUCAUUGUUCUUUUCAAUCUCCAUCCAUUUAACAAAACUCUCACACAAUUUGGACAUCUUCUCUUUCUCGGGCAUUCUGACAGCUAAUGAUGUCAAUGGCUCCGCUCGGCCCUUAACCUCUCGAGCUCGGCUCAUUGAUUUUGGGCGAGCUCGUGGGCCGAGCCGAGCUUUAGCUCACGAGCUCAUCAUCUUUUUAUUUUUAGUUUUUUUUUAAAUAGAGAAAAAC
RNAcentral lists this long non-coding RNA (598 nucleotides) under Olea europaea (common olive). Its description in RNAcentral is "long non-coding RNA (OEUR_LNC008886)". The record is from RNAcentral. Lineage: Eukaryota; Viridiplantae; Streptophyta; Magnoliopsida; Lamiales; Oleaceae.